GUAAGGAAUAUUGGUCAAUGGAGGCAACUCUGAACCAGCCAUGCCGCGUGCAGGAAGACGGCCCUCUGGGUUGUAAACUGCUUUUAUCUGGGAAUAAACCUGCUUACGUGUAAGUAGCUGAAUGUACCAGAAGAAUAAGGAUCGGCUAACUCCGUGCCAGCAGCCGCGGUAAUACGGAGGAUCCAAGCGUUAUCCGGAUUUAUUGGGUUUAAAGGGUGCGUAGGCGGCCUGUUAAGUCAGGGGUGAAAGACGGUGGCUCAACCAUCGCAGUGCCCUUGAUACUGAUGGGCUUGAAUGGACUAGAGGUAGGCGGAAUGAGACAAGUAGCGGUGAAAUGCAUAGAUAUGUCUCAGAACACCGAUUGCGAAGGCAGCUUACUAAGCUACAACUGACACUGAAGCACGAAAGCGCGGGGAUCAAACAGGAUUAGAUACCCCGGUAGUCC
Molecule: ribosomal RNA, 445 nt
Filed under: uncultured bacterium
Lineage: Bacteria
Description: partial 16S ribosomal RNA
Rfam family: Bacterial small subunit ribosomal RNA
Source: RNAcentral